CACGUAGGAGGCAAACGUUAUCCGGAUUUACUGGGCGUAAAGCGCGUGUAGGUGGUUCUGUAAGUAGGGCGUGAAAGCUCCCGGCUCAACUGGGAGAGGCCGUUCUAAACUGCAGAGCUAGAGGAUGGUAGAGGGAGGUGGAAUUCCAGGUGUAGCGGUGGAAUGCGCAGAUAUCGGGAGGAACACCGGUGGCGAAGGCGGCUUUCUGGCCAGUUACUGACGCUCAUGCGCGAAAGCUGGGGUAGCGAACCGGAUUAGAUACCCCUGUAGUCCCU
Molecule: ribosomal RNA, 275 nt
Filed under: uncultured prokaryote
Description: partial 16S ribosomal RNA
Rfam family: Bacterial small subunit ribosomal RNA
Source: RNAcentral